UGCCUUUGCUUUCAAGAAGUUAGGACUC
Molecule: non-coding RNA, 28 nt
Filed under: Mus musculus (house mouse)
Lineage: Eukaryota; Metazoa; Chordata; Mammalia; Rodentia; Muridae
Source: RNAcentral